CUUCCGUAGGGUGAACCUGCGGAAGGAUCAUUACCGAGUGUAGGGUUCCUAGCGAGCCCAACCUCCCACCCGUGUUUACUGUACCUUAGUUGCUUCGGCGGGUUUUUCAUUCGUGGCCGCCGGGGGCUCUCAGCCCCGGGCCCGCGCCCGCCGGAGACACCACGAACUCUGUCUGAUCUAGUGAAGUCUGAGUUGAUUGUAUCGCAAUCAGUUAAAACUUUCAACAAUGGAUCUCUUGGUUCCGGCAUCGAUGAAGAACGCAGCGAAAUGCGAUAACUAGUGUGAAUUGCAGAAUUCCGUGAAUCAUCGAGUCUUUGAACGCACAUUGCGCCCCCUGGUAUUCCGGGGGGCAUGCCUGUCCGAGCGUCAUUGCUGCCCAUCAAGCACGGCUUGUGUGUUGGGUCGUCGUCCCCUCUCCGGGGGGGACGGGCCCCAAAGGCAGCGGCGGCACCGCGUCCGAUCCUCGAGCGUAUGGGGCUUUGUCACCCGCUCUGUAGGCCCGGCCGGCGCUUGCCGAACGCAAAUCAAUCUUUUUCCAGGUUGACCUCGGAUCAGGUAGGGAUUCCCGAGCUGAACUUAAGCAUAUCAAUAAGCGGAGGAA
RNAcentral lists this ribosomal RNA (601 nucleotides) under Aspergillus sp. BAB-4648. Its description in RNAcentral is "eukaryotic LSU rRNA". The stretch from base 216 to 369 matches the Rfam family "5.8S ribosomal RNA". The record is from RNAcentral. Lineage: Eukaryota; Fungi; Ascomycota; Eurotiomycetes; Eurotiales; Aspergillaceae.